RNAcentral lists this long non-coding RNA (529 nucleotides) under Bos taurus (domestic cattle). RNAcentral describes it as "long non-coding RNA NONBTAT002696". The record is from RNAcentral. Lineage: Eukaryota; Metazoa; Chordata; Mammalia; Artiodactyla; Bovidae.
UAACUUUAGUUUUCUGGGGUUUUUGUUUUUUAAGAAAAAAAAUGCUGCUUUGUAAAUUUAGUUAUUUUGAGUAUCAUUGCCCAACUUUUAAUUUUUUUUUCCAGUAAAAUAUUUGCUAGGUGCCACCUUAGAGUUUCACUUCUCUUCCUAACAGGUUAGGGGUCUGUUUGAACACAAUUAACAAUCGUUUUUCAAAAUGUUUCCAUCAUUUUUUUUCUUUAAGAACUGAUUGUUUUAAAGAUAAAUAAUAUAUACAAAGGCAAAUAAACUUCAUAGAUAACAUGUGGUUUGCAGUUACAGCUACAGUGGCCAAGGUGUAGCAAGUCUUGAGUUAACUUUAGUUUACUUUAUAAAUUUAAUCUCUUAGGAUACUUGAGGUACUAGAUAAAUUAAUUUUACUAAUUAUUCCCAAGAAUAGCUAUUUAAAUACUUAGAAGAUUAAAUCUAACCCACCUUAUUCAAUCCAGGACUAGACUUAACUCACUGUUAAAAGGACUGGAAAAUAGAAGAGUGUGUUGGUGAGACAUUU